AGCCUUAGUACUAUAAUUACUCCUUUAGAAUUGCAGUCUAAUGUCAUUGUUGACUAUAAAGCC
Molecule: transfer RNA, 63 nt
Filed under: Simulium fibrinflatum
Lineage: Eukaryota; Metazoa; Arthropoda; Insecta; Diptera; Simuliidae
Description: partial tRNA-Cys
Source: RNAcentral